RNAcentral lists this ribosomal RNA (252 nucleotides) under uncultured bacterium. Its description in RNAcentral is "partial 16S ribosomal RNA". It matches the Rfam family "Bacterial small subunit ribosomal RNA", at positions 524 to 775 of the family's 1533-position model. The record is from RNAcentral.
UACGGAGGGCGCAAGCGUUGUUCGGAAUCACUGGGCGUAAAGCGCGUGUAGGCGGCUUGGCAAGUCGGGUGUGAAAGCCCGGAGCUCAACUCCGGAACUGCACUCGAAACUGCCUCGCUCGAGUCCCGGAGAGGGUGGUGGAAUUCCCGGUGUAGAGGUGAAAUUCGUAGAUAUCGGGAGGAACACCAGUGGCGAAGGCGGCCACCUGGACGGUGACUGACGCUUAGACGCGAAAGCGUGGGGAGCAAACAG